UGGUGUAGAACUACUUGGAAAAGAAGAAUGAUGAUGUUUGCCUAGUUCACAAGCCUCACAUUCAAGGUGAGAUGCGGUCUUGCAACUAGGAAC
Molecule: long non-coding RNA, 93 nt
Organism: Telopea speciosissima
Lineage: Eukaryota; Viridiplantae; Streptophyta; Magnoliopsida; Proteales; Proteaceae
Exons: 3
Source: RefSeq, a predicted model, not a curated record